Molecule: long non-coding RNA, 2011 nt
Organism: Pan troglodytes (chimpanzee)
Lineage: Eukaryota; Metazoa; Chordata; Mammalia; Primates; Hominidae
Exons: 6
Source: RefSeq, a predicted model, not a curated record
AAAGGUUAAAGGUUAAAGGUGUGGCACUUCCCGCUUCUCUCUCUCUCUCUCUCUCCUGCUCCGCCACGGUGAGACCUGCUUGCUUCUCCUCACCUUCUACCGUGAUUGUAAGUUUCCUGAGGCGUCCCAGUCAUGCUUCCUGUUAAGCCUGCAGAACUCUGGACCAGACAGAAGACUACAGUUCAAUAAGAAGGAAACACAUUCAUUUUCAGUAUUGUUAAUAAAGAAGCUUACCUAAAAGAAGGAAAUCAAAACAAGGAAAUAAAACCUUCAGCUGCAGCUAAGAAUUUGGAGGUUACUGAAGGAGGUUACUUUUUCAAGAGCAGAAGUAAGGAUUCCACUGAAUUUGCUCACCAAAGAUAAGUCAGCAAAGAAAACUUACUGAAGAAUACAGACAGCAUAUCAGCUCCUGCUUUCCAGACAAACUUCCUGGGUCUUGGGAAGAAGAAAGCCUCAGACUAAGAACUCUCUCUGGACUCAGACAGCCUGAAUUCAAAUCCCAUCUCUAUUCUUACUAGUCAUAUGAACACAGGAGAACCAUAUCCAUUCAGCUCACUUUGGGCCACCUGUGGAGCCUGAUAACCAGGGAACAGAGAAUCUGUUGAGAUCCAAAUUUGUGUGCCAGAUCACAAACUCAUCUGAAGCAGAUGCCACGUGUUACACUGUUAUGUAUCUCUCAGAGACUCCAGCACUUUGAAAGUAUUAGGCCUUGCUUAUCGAGAUGAAUAUUUUUUUCUAGGCAUGUCCCAAAGUUCUCAGCAUAGCUACAACCCUGAUUUUCACAGGAUUUUCAUUAAAAUUAGGUUCUAGAGCAUUACUUCCCUAAUGUGCAAUGCAACUUACGUUUAGUUUUCAAAUCAAAAUUAGUUUUGUUUUUCCACUGUCUUUAUCUUUGAAAAUAUUGAACUUGGGAUUUCCAAAACUAUAAUUAGCAAUUAUUUUUACAUAUCUUUUAUAUACAUAACUUUUACAAUGGCUGCCAUUAUCAUGUAGGUUCUUAGGAAGUGUUUCUGAUCCUUGUAAAUAAAAGUGAAAGAAGAAAUCUUUACUGCUUGCUGACCCAUGUGACUAACCUUGAAAUCAGAGAGGCAGAUUCAUUUAAAACAAACUUGCAAACUGUUAAGCAAAGUUCUGAAUCUCUGUGACUUGACCAAAAGUAAUUCAGACUUGACUAUUCCAGGCUCCCUUCUAUCUCUGUAGCAACCCAUGCAUCAUAGACUCCAGUUGCAAUGGAUGGUCAAGGAAUCUGCUGUGCCUUUUGAGUCUCUCCAUUUUAUAUUGCCAAAUUUAUCUUCCUUUAAUACUUCACUUCACAUAAGACACUAAGAUAAACAAGGAUGCAACUCACUUAUAUUUCAAAAUAGUACCUAGUGGUUAAAAGUACUUGUUCUGAAAGCAACUCUAUUUUUCUAGUUCUAACAUGUCUCCAACUAGUUAUCUCACCUUGAGCUUGGCACAUAAUCACUCCGUCUUACUUUUGCAUCUGUGACACAAGAAAAAUACCACCCACCUCAACAUAGAUCUUAUGAAGAUUAAAAUAAGAUUAUGAAAGUAAAAUGCUCAGCACAAUGUCUAAACGAAAAUAAAUGCUCAGCAAGUAGGAGCUACUAUAAUUAUUACCCAGAUCAAAUAUUUUCUCCUCUAUGAAGCUUUCUUAUUCUUCCCCAGCUGGAAUUACUUAUUUUCUUCCUUGCUUUCUACACCACACUUUAGUCACCACCAUGCUGGCACUUGUCUCACCGCAUUAUAAUUAUUUAUGUGCCUGUGUUCCAUAACCAGAAUAUGGGACUUAAGCUUCUUUAUACCUCCAGCAUAAUUGUUUCAUGUGUGCUUUUAGGUAAUGGAGUAAAAUGGAUGAAUGAGUGAAUGCGACUAUAGUACUAAAUGCUCUUAGAUAAAGAUGUAAUUAUUCUUAAGUGAUAAAAUUGUUCGAACAUGAGUAGUUCAGAUAAUGAGAGACUGUCAUAGAAUUACUUGAUAAAAUCUAGUCAAUAAAAUGGCUUGGCAAUAU